Long non-coding RNA from Hemicordylus capensis (graceful crag lizard), 749 nucleotides. RefSeq lists it as uncharacterized. Lineage: Eukaryota; Metazoa; Chordata; Lepidosauria; Squamata; Cordylidae. The transcript has 3 exons. The record is from RefSeq and is a predicted model, not a curated record.
AGAUGGGGGAUCGAAAAGGAGGAAGUUUCAAGUUCUAUUUAAAGGCAAGCCCUGGCCUUGCAAAAACUACUCAAGCUGCUUGCUGUUGCUGGCUGCCGCUGGUUAGAGUUUGGCUGUAGACUUCUUGUGCCUGCCUGCCUCUGUGGUGAGGAGGUCUCUCCAGCCCCUCUGACUUUUUUUGCCUCCCACCUUCUACAAAGUAAUUUUCCCUGGCUGAGUGUGUGUGUGCGCGCACAGCUGCUGCUGCUGUUGCUGUUGCUGGAGGAUUUUUUGUUUUCUGGCAUGAAGAAGGAUACUUCCUUGCACAAUGCCUUCUUCUUUGUGGAACUUUGUAGCUAGUCUGAAGCAAGCAAAUCUUUCUUUCCAUUCUGGCCAAGCAGCAGGACUGUCAAAGCCGAAAGCUUCUGCUGUAGGACAGUGAGCCAUUUCAAAGAGUGAUUCAAAUGCUAUUCACCGAAGGCUGAGAUCCAUUUGUAUCUACAAUGCAGUACCAAAUUUACCAGCAUGGAUAUUCAGAACACCACAGCUGGAAAGCAAGAUCCAAAUAAACACCUUUACACAGUAAUGAAUAUGUUUUAGCUGCUUGUACCUUGUGGCGAUUUGAUUAGGCUAAACUAGAGCAAUCUAGGCAACCGUGAAAACAGUAACCAUUCUUCAGCACUGCCACAACAAAAAGACAUUAAGAAGUGGUUAUCCACCAUACAAGUUGUAAAAUAUUAUUUAACUUAAUAAAUGUGUCUCAUUCUCUA